GCGAUACCUAGUGUGAAUUGCAGAAUUCCGCGAAUCAUCGAGUUUUUGAACGCAAGUUGCGCCCGAGGCUUGUUCCAAGGGCAUGCCUGCCUGAGCGUCCGC
RNAcentral lists this ribosomal RNA (102 nucleotides) under Leptolejeunea elliptica. RNAcentral's name for it is "partial 5.8S ribosomal RNA". It matches the Rfam family "5.8S ribosomal RNA", at positions 55 to 154 of the family's 154-position model. From Rfam's summary of the family: 5.8S ribosomal RNA (5.8S rRNA) is a component of the large subunit of the eukaryotic ribosome. Lineage: Eukaryota; Viridiplantae; Streptophyta; Jungermanniopsida; Porellales; Lejeuneaceae. The record is from RNAcentral.